AUUGAACGCUGGCGGCAGGCUUAACACAUGCAAGUCGAGCGGAGCGAGGGUGCUUGCACCUUAGCUUAGCGGCGGACGGGUGAGUAAUGCUUAGGAAUCUGCCUAUUAGUGGGGGACAACAUUCCGAAAGGAAUGCUAAUACCGCAUACGCCCUACGGGGGAAAGCAGGGGAUCUUCGGACCUUGCGCUAACAGAUGGGCCUAAGUCGGAUUAGCUAGUUGGUGGGGUAAAGGCCUACCAAGGCGACGAUCUGUAGCGGGUCUGAGAGGAUGAUCCGCCACACUGGGACUGGAACACGGCCCAGACUCCUACGGGAGGCAGCAGUGGGGAAUAUUGGACAAUGGGCGGAAGCCUGAUCCAGCCAUGCCGCGUGUGUGAAGAAGGCCUUUUGGUUGUAAAGCACUUUAAGCGAGGAGGAGGCUACUUAGAUUAAUACUCUGGGAUAGUGGACGUUACUCGCAGAAUAAGCACCGGCUAACUCUGUGCCAGCCGCCGCUGUAA
RNAcentral lists this ribosomal RNA (501 nucleotides) under uncultured bacterium. RNAcentral's name for it is "partial 16S ribosomal RNA". It matches the Rfam family "Bacterial small subunit ribosomal RNA", at positions 30 to 523 of the family's 1533-position model. The record is from RNAcentral.